Non-coding RNA from Pelodiscus sinensis (Chinese soft-shelled turtle), 2533 nucleotides. Lineage: Eukaryota; Metazoa; Chordata; Testudines; Trionychidae. The record is from RefSeq and is a predicted model, not a curated record.
CUCAAGUGGCAGUGCAGGAGGCCUAUGUGGGAUAUUAGGAAAAACUAUUCCACUAGAAGGGUGGUGAAGUCCUGGAAUGGGAAAACUAGGUAGGUGACACGAUGCACCAUCCUGAUAGAGGCAGCACUGAAACCCGCAACAGUUGAUAUUCUUGCCCUCUGAAUGAAAAGGAAGCAAAAAUCUAUUGCUAUUUACAAAAGGAACUACCCUCUGUAUCCAAAUAUGGAAAAAGACUGUUGAGAGAGUGAGCUGAACUCCAAAUGAUUUCACCUGAAGAACUGUAUGGAAAGUGAAUUCUUUUCCCCUGGAACAGCAGCUCCUAAACUCAGAAAACUAAAACACCUCAAGCAGUUCUGAGGUGAUUCUAUACUUCGGGAGAGAAAAACAUGAAAAUAAAAAGAAGAUGCUAUUGUGAUAAAUGUAUUCUGCAUUUUUUUUUAAACUAACCCUGACAGCAUAUCUGGCAAUAAACUAUUGGUUUCUGUUACUAAAUCAAUUAUUUUUAAAAAGUGAGACUCAUUACAGUGAUUUCAUGCUUGUUAAGGAAUAGAUGUAAAUCUGCAUUUUGGCACCAGGAGCUCUAAAUAUAAGGUAAUUUGUGUAUAAAAAUUGAGUUUUAAAUAAACCCCCAUGUAGCUAUUUAUUAAAAAUCUAUAAAUAUUUAUGCACUUACCUAUUUUUAAAUGCUUCAAAAUCAAUGUACAAAACCCAGUGAUUGAAAAUGCCUUAGGUAUUUUACCUGUUAUGUAUGAUCCUUUGUUUCCUAAUGAAAGUACACUAUUUCCAAACAGGCUGGGUGGAGUAUUAGGCAGGAAUAUUAAUGAAAAAAAGACUUAAGUCUGGCUCUCCCUGCUAUUCUCUCCAGUACAAAUAGGAUGACAUGGUGUGAGUAUCAAGAAUACAAGAGAUGGCACAGCCAGGUUGUUUUGAUAUUUGUGUGAAGAACAAAUUUAACUCUAAAUCUCUUGGCAAGACCUUGCUUCACCCACUUAAUCUGGAGAACAUCCAUAUGUGAGCCUUGUCUAAGCCUCCGAGAAGACUACUGCCCUCCUGCUCAUGUCCGCCAGCACUCUGAUCUGACUUUCAUACUUAAUCUGAUCUAAUCCUGCCCAGCAUUAACUUCAUCUGUGCAAUGAAACCUGGAGUAUCCAUUCUAAUAUUUGGUGAGGAAGGCAUUUACUAAAUUACUUGCUGAAAUCAUAUGGUGUUGUUUAGCUCCUUAUUUUAAUCAGAUGAUGCAUCUCAGAGACACAUUAUCGGCGAUUAGUUAGAAACCCAUCUCUGUCCUUUUUGGGAAUAACUUUUAUUAAAUUAAAUGUUAAGGGAAAAAAGCACUGUUGCAAGCCAAGAAGUAGGAAAUAAAAAUAAAUAUUUUUUACCUCUUAUUAAAGAAAAUCAUUUUUAAAUUAAAAAACAACAACAACAACAACAACCCCCCAUCACCAUUACCACAAAACACAGUGAAAAUGUUUCUGGAAAGCCAAUUUAAAAAAUGCAUUGUUUACUUAGACAACAGGCGGUUUCUCCCAACCCUCCACCACUUUUUCUUUUAACCAUUCCUUCAUAAAAGUCAAAUCUGCUGAAUUCAACAAUCCUGUGAAGUCAUUAUGUUCAGAAUUUGGACUCUUACAAUGUCUCAGAAUAGAAAUAUUUUUAUUCUGUUCUGGCUCCCUAAAGAAUCAAAACCAAACAUGAAUUAUGUAAGAAAAGACAUAUUGGGAAAAUAUUUUCUUCUUUUCUUAAGUGAAAUUUGCACCUAAAAUGUCUAGCUUUCUUUAUUUAUAAUUAAGAAUGCACUUUUUUGAAAGUGGUAAUGCAGUCACUGAAAGGACAGGAUGAAUCCACACUGUCAAUAUCAAAAAUUGGUCUGUGUUCCCAGCCAAAUCUAUCGAUGUAUUUAAAUAGAAUAUAUAUUAGCUUUUAUCAUGAAACAGCUCACUCACAAAGUAAGUAUUGUGCUCCUAAUUUUUACUAAGCAUUCUCUGAUUAUUAACAAUGUUUACCUGUGUAAUAAUGUGACCAUCAUUUUUAGUGUAGGCUUAUCAAUACUGUUGUUGAAUUGACUUAAGAAACAGAAUGAUGCAGAAAAGAUUUUGAAAAUCUUUUUCCUUUGCGAAGAUUUUCUGGGGAGCAAAAUAUACAUCCCCUUAUAUCAAUAGUCAGAUCUUUCCUAAGAAGUAAGCUAAUUGAGCUGUUUGUGUUGAUAAACUCCCUUUUCUCCAGACUGUUCCUCACUGAGCCAUAAUUAUUUGCAAUUUGCCUAAGUCGUCCAUUUACUGAUACGUCAAGCAUGAAACAGAGGCAAUUCCAGAAAAUGGAAAUGCUUCUCAAAAUCAAUCUUUGGGAAAUAAUGCGGUAGAAGUUACUGUGUGAUAGAAGACUACCUUAUAACUGUCAUAUGGAGAUGAAUAUUAAUUUGUUGAGGUUAAGGUGGCUUUGUGCUUCAUUUGUUGACUUUGCUUAGCCAUCAGCAAGCAGCACAGCACAAUUACUCUAGCAAAGCUAGUUUUUAACAUGAGUUUUAUGAUUUUUA